RNAcentral lists this ribosomal RNA (1350 nucleotides) under Triticum aestivum (bread wheat). RNAcentral describes it as "partial small subunit ribosomal RNA". Lineage: Eukaryota; Viridiplantae; Streptophyta; Magnoliopsida; Poales; Poaceae. The record is from RNAcentral.
AUGGGCCGCCACAUGGCGCUUCCCCUGCUCCUGGCGCUCGCGGCCCUAGUGGCGUCGCUGCCGUCGGCUUCGCUCGCGACGGCGGGGACGGCUGGUGCGUUCGACAGCUGGUUGUCCGCGAACCAAAAAGACUUCGCGAUCAACCAGGCGUUGUACGCGAAGAAGGCGGUGGGUGACACGGGCAGCACCAUCGACGAGUCCCUGUCCAAGGCGGAGGAUAACAAGACCACCUACGUGGUGGACCCCAAGGGCGGUGGUGACUACAAGACCAUCACGGCCGCGAUCGACGCCAUCCCGGAGGGCAACACCGGUCGCGUAAUCCUGGACCUGAAACCCGGCGAGUACCGUGAGAAGAUCUUCCUCAAUCUCAGCAAGCCCUACGUCACUUUCAAGUCCGAUCCCAAGAACCCGGCCAUCAUCGCCUGGAGCGACACCGCUGCGACGCUAGGGAAAGACGGGAAGCCCGUGGGCACGGUGGGGAGCACCACUUGCGCCAUCGAGUCCGACUACUUCGUGGCGUACGGCGUGGUGUUCAAGAACGACGCGCCACUGGCCAAGCCGGGGGCCAAGGGCGGGCAGGCGGUGGCGCUGCGUACGUUCGGCACCAAGCAGGCCUUCUACAACUGCACCAUCGACGGCGGGCAGGACACGCUGUACGACCACAAGGGUUUGCACUACUUCAAGGACUGCGUGAUCAAAGGGAGCGUGGACUUCAUCUUCGGGUUUGGGAGGUCCUUGUACGAGAACUGCCGCAUCGUGUCCAUCGUGAAGGAGAUCGCCGUGCUCACGGCGCAGCAGCGGACCAAGACCAUCGAGGGCGCCAUCGAGAGCGGGUUCUCGUUCAAGAACUGCACCAUCAUGAGCGAAGGCGGGGGGGAUAUCUAUCUUGGCAGGGCGUGGGGGGACUCGUCGCGCGUCAUCUACGCCUACACCGAGAUGAGCAAGGAGGUGGUGCCAGUUGGAUGGGACGGAUGGAACAUCAAGCAGCCUGAGAGUAGCGGGAUCUACUACGGCGAGUUCAAAUGCAGCGGGCCGGGGUCGGACGCGAGGAAGAGGGUCGGGUGGGCUGUGGAUCUCACCGAGGCCCAGGCCAAGCCCUUCAUCGGCACACACUACAUCUUCGGCGACUCUUGGAUUCUGCCACCGCCAACUGGGAACUCUCCUCCCUCUAAAAAAGGCUACAGUGGAGGAGCCCCCGCCACAUCCCCCGCCUCAUCGCCCGAGUCCGCAGAUUCGGCCUCAUCGCCCGAGUCGGCGGAUUCAGCCGCGUCGCCCAAGUCGGCGUCCAAAGCAUCGUCGCCCAAAUCCGCCUACUCAGCUGGAUCCAAGACGAAGAAGAAAGAAUUAUAG